This 1287-nucleotide long non-coding RNA is filed under the name Triticum aestivum (bread wheat). Its description in RNAcentral is "long non-coding RNA (TAES_LNC022609)". Lineage: Eukaryota; Viridiplantae; Streptophyta; Magnoliopsida; Poales; Poaceae. The record is from RNAcentral.
UAAUUUAUAACUCGAACUUGUAGCAAUAGAAAUAAGAAAUUUGUACAGCCUCCGCGCCAUUGCAUUGGUGUACUCCGGCGUCAGGAACAAAUCCUGCCAUAUUUGAUACAUACACACAUCCUAGUUGACAUUUGUUCUCUGGAAUGUUGAUGUCAUUUUAUUGAUUCCAAAAAAAGAUAGCAAGAUGGGACAUUGAUUCAACAAUUAUUAGAGUUCUAUAAGAACGCAUCUGUACUUAUUUUUGAAGAUGUAUUUGUACUGCCCAAAAACAUAAGCUGAAGCACAAAACAAACAUUUAAAUACAUUGGUGCUCAUGGGAAUAGUCACACACCUAGUGAGCAUGUUCUUUUCAUAUCUUCCCAACUACUCAAUUAGCAAAGCAGCACAUCUACGCAUUUUAAUAGCAGGAGCAAAGAAAGAGAGAGAUUGAUAUGAGAGAGUGUCGUUGAAGCACGCCAAGGACUCCCAUCAGUGCUCAACCUGGACGGCUGCCAGCAACCAUGGUGGACGUGCCAGUGGUGGUGUAGCAUGGCCAGAGCAGGGCGGUGGUUGUGCGGAUCCUGAUAUUCCAACACAUCAUGUUAGCGCACCAGGGAAAUAACAAGUUCUCCAUAAAAAUGUUAUCCAUACUAGGUAAGAACAAAGCUACAUGACAAUACCUUUUCUUCAGCUAGCUACUACAUGCUACUGCUCCUCCAGCAAUGUAGCAUCUUUGUAUCCUCCUUGCGCGGGCAACCAUUGGGAGCAAGGGCUGCUACCGCUCGACACGUUGAACCACCUGUAGGAAUCAAAAUGAACUGAAGGGAUUCAAACACAUCAAUGGGCACAUGUACUACACAAUAAUUUGCACCUGUACUGUCCAUAACAACAAACUAACAUAAAAACAAUUUAUGAAGGAAACAGUUCUUGAAAUUGGGUUGAGCUUAAACUGUUCAGAUUUUUGAACUCCUGCAGCAGUUAUACUUGAACUUGCGCGACACAUUUUUUGAAAGCAUCUAAUGUUCAGAAUACGUUAUAUGGAAAGAGGAACGUGGAACACACUAGGACACAUAGGCCAGCUUGAACUUGUAGCAUCAUUCUUUAUAUUUUUCUAAUUGGAGAAUAACAUGCGAGCUUAUAGCAUUUGAUCACUGAAACUUGUAGCAAUAGAAAUAAGAACUACGGCCUCCGACCCGUGGAAAUUAUAAGAAAUUUAUAAAGUUGUGAGCGACGAGGGGACAACCUUUCCUUUUCUGCCCUCGUACACGCUUGUGUCGGACCUCAAAUGGUGUGUGUGCGUGCCCAUUG